UUCUCCUAAUGUUUUGUGUCCGUACGUCAAUUACGCCACGCCCUUUUUCCCAAAAGCUGUUGGCGUGACUGCGAUUUACAGGUCCGGCAGGAGGCAUGGCAGGCCUUCACAUUCUCAACAACGAUCUUCAACUUCACUCUCUUAUCUGCGGCGGCGGCGACGGCGACGGCGACGGCGACGGCACUUGUGCAGCAACUUGCAACGGGUACUUCAUGAAUGGUGAGCAGCAGCCCCCUGUUUCUGAGGGCAGAGGGUUUAAUGGAGGUGGCUCCUCCUCCUCCUCCUCCGCCCCUGUAUUGUGUUAUUGUGGAACAGCGCGACCUGCCCCUUAUCCUUCUGAAAAUAUAAAGCAUUAUCUUUCUUCUUCUUUACUACCGGCUGCUUUGGGUUGCUACCCUUCUACUGCUGAGAACUCUGAGGGAGCGAAGAUUGUUUCUUUGGAGAGGGGAGCAGAGGGUGUGGCUGAGAUAUUGGCGGAGUUGCAGAGGGAGCGGCAGAAGAAUGUGGAGCUAAUGGAGAGGAUAUCGUUGUUGGAGGCUUUAGUUAAUGACUUUAAAUGUGCCUUGUCAAGGAUUGGUUUUGAAAAUUCUGAGAAUAUAGAGCAAAUAACAACACUAAUUAAAGUUGGUACAGAAGUACCAAAUUAUAAUGAUACCGAUGCGAAGUUAAAGCAACAGAAUCAACAAUGCACUCCAAAGUUGGACAAUGAAAAUGUCAACAUUGUAAAUUGGAUGUACAGGGACGAGACUGAAUUUCUCUGUCUUGACAACCAUAACAAAGUAGAUGAUUCUGGCACAGAUUAUGGAAAUCCCGAUGACGAUGGCGAGUCCUUUGAUGAUAAUGAUAGCUAUGAAGAUGAAGAUGGAGAGGAAUCAGGUAUUGCUGAGACUUCAACAAGAUUGUUAAUGAGCCUAGAAGAAAGUGAAAAUAAAGCGAUACAGUUCCACAGACUAGAAAAAUCAACUGAAGCUCUCGCGGCACACACAUGUUUGAAUGUGAAACAAGAAGAGCAUGGAAAUUUUAGUGAAGGAAAGCUGUUGCCUGUUGUUAGAGUAGAUAAACAUGGUGGAAAUGUAAUCAAUAAGAGGGAGAAUGGAAAGCAUAAAUUCAAAGUCAGUAAAAAACUCAAAAGAUACAAACCUUUUUCGGGAUUGAGCUGUUCCGGUCAUGAAAAUCCACUUAAGGGGUCAGGAAAUGUGUUUUCAUAUAGAAACCCCACUAAGGUUCCCUUCUGCUCAAGGGAAGUCAAAAGAAUUAUGGAAUCUGAAUUGCUUUCCUUAAAAAAUGCUCAGACUCACACUAUGCGGAAAAUUAUAGUUUUUGCUUCUCUUGGUAUACGACAUGGAUGUGAAGAUAUGUACGAAUUGGAUUUUAAUCAGUUUAGCAUAUUACGGAAAGGGGAGCCAUCUGUUUCUCUAGAAAAUCCUGGGGAGCAUGUUUUAUAUGAAAACCCUGGUGUCCAGAGGAAAAUAUUUUACCCUAAUCGACAAAACCCAAUGCUUUGUCCUGUACAAAUACUCGAAGAGGAGAAGGGCAUGCGGCCAUCUGAUGCAAGUUGCCCAUCUUGCUUAUUUUUGUGCAUUAAAUAAGGUGGGAGGACACGAAAUCUUCCUCAAAAUGAAUAUGUCAGGCAACAUAUGGUUAGAAACAAGUUGAAGUCUUUUGUUCCACUCAUGUGUCAAAUGGCAUUGCUCGUGAAUAUAUGUAGUGGAAGCUUCUUCUUCAAAGCCUUGGGCAUCACUGUUCUUUUCAUGGCUGGCUUACCUGAUGCCUUAGUACAAAAAGAGACCAAAUACCGUAACUUGGACCUGCUUCAAAAAUACUACAGGACAGACGACGAUGCUGAAGGGGAGUUGUUUCAUCCUCUCCCGGAGCAUAACACUCAGGCUGUGCCUGACCCAGUGCCAUUGUCAGGAAAAGGAAUCAAUGGAGUGCAAAAACUGCCCAGAAGGAGACAGCAGCAAUCCCCUCUACCCAUCAAGCUGCCUCUGAAUACACAGAGAUCUACAGCUAUCCCACCAUCAAGACCAACAUGUCCCACUUCUCAGUUUAGGCCUACGAAUUAUUCAUCUUUUCAGAUGCACCCGAUCUCAGCCAUGCAAACCAAUAGACCCCACACCCAAACUCCACUAACAGACAAUCUAUCAGUUUCAAGUUCUCCUUUCAUCACUAAACCUGCACUCCACUUGGGUCAGUUCCAACCACUCUACCCCCUAUAUUCACCAUAUCCGAUGCAACACAUGGUCAACCCUUACAUCCUCUUGACAAUGUGGUCGACUGUACAUCCUUAUUCUCCCUGCCCUCAGCACUGAUCCUUUGCAUGCCAAUCCUUCACGGCCCCUGCAAAGUGCAUAUCUCAACCUUGUCAUUCUUACUAUGGACAUCCCCCCUACAUCCAAUUCACAGAGGGGGCAGCAAGAGAUGGAUUGUUGUCAAUGGAUUCUGAUAGUGAUGACUCGGAAAGCAGUUCAAGUGAAACUGAACAGAUAAAGUCUAUCACAAGCUAUAUUUAGUAUAUGACAGGGAGAUAAUUACGAGCUUGUGAAAGGCCCAACAGGUUGCAGUAAGGGAAAGUAAGGGCGAAAAAAAUUCUUGCAACCAAAAUUUCAAAAAGAACCAUCUCAAUUUUUACAAGUUGUAACAUGCAGGAUGUUGGGAAGUCUUGAAUCGGAGGAUCUCUGCUGGGCUUGUUUAAUAAACUCUAAUGUAGUAGUUCAACGCAUGAGCCUUUUGGAAGUGUGGGGGUCUUAGCAAAGCUUUGGAACUAUAUUUUAAAAGAAAAAGCAGUGAUGAUUUUUUCUGUUUUUUUUUUUGGGUCGUUCAGUUGUAGGAUUUGAACUUGGGAUGUACUAUUGCAGUUACCAUCAUCUCCACCAAACAAAGCUCAAACCUGAAUCCUUACAGUAUUUAGGGUCACAAAAAUGCACAAAUGCUUACAAACAUCAGACCCAUGUAUUUAUGCGCGUGCUCA
Molecule: non-coding RNA, 2971 nt
Organism: Amborella trichopoda
Lineage: Eukaryota; Viridiplantae; Streptophyta; Magnoliopsida; Amborellales; Amborellaceae
Source: RefSeq, a predicted model, not a curated record